AGAUUGAACGCUGGCGGCAUGCUUUACACAUGCAAGUCGAGCGGCAGCGCGGGGGCAACCCUGGCGGCGAGCGGCGAACGGGUGAGGAAUACAUCGGAACGUGCCCCGGAGUGGGGGAUAACCCAGCGAAAGUUGGACUAAUACCGCAUAUGCUCUGAGGAGGAAAGCAGGGGACUUCGCAAGAGGCCUUGCGCUCUGGGAGCGGCCGAUGUCCGAUUAGCUAGUUGGUGGGGUAAUGGCUCACCAAGGCGACGAUCGGUAGCGGGUCUGAGAGGAUGAUCAGCCACACUGGGACUGAGACACGGCCCAGACUCCGUACGGGAGCAGCAGUAGGGGUAAUUUGGACAAGU
RNAcentral lists this ribosomal RNA (350 nucleotides) under uncultured soil bacterium. Its description in RNAcentral is "bacterial SSU rRNA". It matches the Rfam family "Bacterial small subunit ribosomal RNA", at positions 26 to 373 of the family's 1533-position model. The record is from RNAcentral.